RNAcentral lists this non-coding RNA (183 nucleotides) under Shouchella clausii. RNAcentral's name for it is "6S RNA". It matches the Rfam family "6S / SsrS RNA". From Rfam's summary of the family: E. coli 6S RNA was the first non coding RNA to be sequenced, but its function was unknown until recently. The record is from RNAcentral. Lineage: Bacteria; Bacillati; Bacillota; Bacilli; Caryophanales; Bacillaceae.
AAUUGCCUGCUAUGUUCGUGUGCUUUUUUUAUGUUUCGAACCUUGAAUGUAAAAAAGGGAGUUCUAUAUGAUUGACUCUACGUCAUGCCGACUGGUUCGGACUUCGGAACGUGAACUGCGAACACCCACCUGCGAGAGUAGGUUCAUGAAACAUUUACUGCUAACGGCACCCGCGGGUAAAGA